Molecule: ribosomal RNA, 1388 nt
Filed under: Leuconostoc citreum
Lineage: Bacteria; Bacillati; Bacillota; Bacilli; Lactobacillales; Lactobacillaceae
Description: bacterial SSU rRNA
Rfam family: Bacterial small subunit ribosomal RNA
Source: RNAcentral
GCGCAGCGAGAGGUGCUUGCACCUUUCAAGCGAGUGGCGAACGGGUGAGUAACACGUGGAUAACCUGCCUCAAGGCUGGGGAUAACAUUUGGAAACAGAUGCUAAUACCGAAUAAAACUUAGUAUCGCAUGAUAUCAAGUUAAAAGGCGCUACGGCGUCACCUAGAGAUGGAUCCGCGGUGCAUUAGUUAGUUGGUGGGGUAAAGGCUUACCAAGACGAUGAUGCAUAGCCGAGUUGAGAGACUGAUCGGCCACAUUGGGACUGAGACACGGCCCAAACUCAUACGGGAGGCUGCAGUAGGGAAUCUUCCACAAUGGGCGCAAGCCUGAUGGAGCAACGCCGCGUGUGUGAUGAAGGCUUUCGGGUCGUAAAGCACUGUUGUAUGGGAAGAAAUGCUAAAAUAGGGAAUGAUUUUAGUUUGACGGUACCAUACCAGAAAGGGACGGCUAAAUACGUGCCAGCAGCCGCGGUAAUACGUAUGUCCCGAGCGUUAUCCGGAUUUAUUGGGCGUAAAGCGAGCGCAGACGGUUGAUUAAGUCUGAUGUGAAAGCCCGGAGCUCAACUCCGGAAUGGCAUUGGAAACUGGUUAACUUGAGUGUUGUAGAGGUAAGUGGAACUCCAUGUGUAGCGGUGGAAUGCGUAGAUAUAUGGAAGAACACCAGUGGCGAAGGCGGCUUACUGGACAACAACUGACGUUGAGGCUCGAAAGUGUGGGUAGCAAACAGGAUUAGAUACCCUGGUAGUCCACACCGUAAACGAUGAAUACUAGGUGUUAGGAGGUUUCCGCCUCUUAGUGCCGAAGCUAACGCAUUAAGUAUUCCGCCUGGGGAGUACGACCGCAAGGUUGAAACUCAAAGGAAUUGACGGGGACCCGCACAAGCGGUGGAGCAUGUGGUUUAAUUCGAAGCAACGCGAAGAACCUUACCAGGUCUUGACAUCCUUUGAAGCUUUUAGAGAUAGAAGUGUUCUCUUCGGAGACAAAGUGACAGGUGGUGCAUGGUCGUCGUCAGCUCGUGUCGUGAGAUGUUGGGUUAAGUCCCGCAACGAGCGCAACCCUUAUUGUUAGUUGCCAGCAUUCAGUUGGGCACUCUAGCGAGACUGCCGGUGACAAACCGGAGGAAGGCGGGGACGACGUCAGAUCAUCAUGCCCCUUAUGACCUGGGCUACACACGUGCUACAAUGGCGUAUACAACGAGUUGCCAACCUGCGAAGGUGAGCUAAUCUCUUAAAGUACGUCUCAGUUCGGACUGCAGUCUGCAACUCGACUGCACGAAGUCGGAAUCGCUAGUAAUCGCGGAUCAGCACGCCGCGGUGAAUACGUUCCCGGGUCUUGUACACACCGCCCGUCACACCAUGGGAGUUUGUAAUGCCCAAAGCCGGUGGCCUAA